ACAUAUUCCAGAGCCCAAUUCACUUUACUUUAAUAAAUAAAAUUACCACCAAAUCCUAAAUAAAUAAUAUUUUCAUAUUUAAAUAUAUAAAUGUAACCCAUUUCUUCUUCUAAAUGCUGCACCUUGAUUUGAUCUAAAAUAAAAUUUUAUAUAAAGAAAAUUAUAUUUAUCAUGAAAUUUUCGUUACAACAACGAUAUACAAACAAUUUUAAAAGUAAAAUAAAUUGUGGACUAUCAAUUACAGAACAGGUUCCUCUGGUAGGUUAGAAUACCGCCAAGAUAUUUAAUUUUUAAGUACUUAACUAUUACUAAUCCGGUUAUACAAUUACAAUUUUAAUAGUAGGGUAUCUAAUCCUAGUUUAUAAUCAAAUUUUCCUAGAUCAUUUUCUUAAUAAAUUUAAUUUUUAUAAUAAAAAUUUCACCUCUCAAUAUAAUUUUCAAUUAUAUAUUCAUAAUAAUUAACUAAAACCACAAAAAUUAAGUCACUCUUUUUGUAUAACCGCA
This 504-nucleotide ribosomal RNA is filed under the name Cryptocephalus renatae. RNAcentral's name for it is "partial 12S ribosomal RNA". Lineage: Eukaryota; Metazoa; Arthropoda; Insecta; Coleoptera; Chrysomelidae. The record is from RNAcentral.